Molecule: ribosomal RNA, 444 nt
Filed under: uncultured bacterium
Lineage: Bacteria
Description: bacterial SSU rRNA
Rfam family: Bacterial small subunit ribosomal RNA
Source: RNAcentral
GACGAACGCUGGCGGCGUGCUUAACACAUGCAAGUCGAGCGGUAAGGCCCUUUCGGGGGUACACGAGCGGCGAACGGGUGAGUAACACGUGGGUGACCUGCCCUCAGCUCUGGGAUAAGCCCGGGAAACUGGGUCUAAUACCGGAUAUGACUCCAUGACGCAUGUUGUGGGGUGGAAAGCCUUGUGCGGCUGAGGAUGGGCCCGCGGCCUAUCAGCUUGUUGGUGGGGUGAUGGCCACCAAGGCGACGACGGGUAGCGGGUGUGAGAGCACGGCCCGCCGCAUCGGGACUGAGACACUGCCCGGACUCCUACGGGAGGCUGCAGUAACGAAUCUUCCGCAAUGCGCGAAAGCGUGACGGAGCAAUGCCGCGUGCAGGAUGAAGCCCUUCGGGGUGUAAACUAGCUGUCAGGGUGUAGCAACACAAUGAGCAGACCCAAAGGAAG